GAUGAACGCUGGCGGCGUGCCUAAUACAUGCAAGUCGAGCGAACAGACGAGGAGCUUGCUCCUCUGACGUUAGCGGCGGACGGGUGAGUAACACGUGGAUAACCUACCUAUAAGACUGGGAUAACUUCGGGAAACCGGAGCUAAUACCGGAUAACAUGUUGAACCGCAUGGUUCAACAGUGAAAGACGGUCUUGCUGUCACUUAUAGACGGAUCCGCGCCGCAUUAGCUAGUUGGUAAGGUAACGGCUUACCAAGGCAACGAUGCGUAGCCGACCUGAGAGGGUGAUCGGCCACACUGGAACUGAGACACGGUCCAGACUCCUACGGGAGGCAGCAGUAGGGAAUCUUCCGCAAUGGGCGAAAGCCUGACGGAGCAACGCCGCGUGAGUGAAGAAGGUCCUCGGAUCGUAAAACUCUGUUAUUAGGGAAGAACAAAUGUGUAAGUAACUAUGCACGUCUUGACGGUACCUAAUCAGAAAGCCACGGCUAACUACGUG
RNAcentral lists this ribosomal RNA (497 nucleotides) under uncultured bacterium. Its description in RNAcentral is "partial 16S ribosomal RNA". It matches the Rfam family "Bacterial small subunit ribosomal RNA", at positions 28 to 507 of the family's 1533-position model. The record is from RNAcentral.